GACGAACGCUGGCGGCGUGCUUAACACAUGCAAGUCGAACGGAAAGGCCCUGCUUUUGUGGGGUGCUCGAGUGGCGAACGGGUGAGUAACACGUGAGUAACCUGCCCUUGACUUUGGGAUAACUUCAGGAAACUGGGGCUAAUACCGGAUAGGAGCUCCUGCUGCAUGGUGGUGUUUGGAAAGUUUCGGCGGUUGGGGCUGGACUCGCGGCUUAUCAGCUUGUUGGUGGGGUAGUGGCUUACCAAGGCUUUGACGGGUAGCCGGCCUGAGAGGGUGACCGGCGACAUUGGGACUGAGAUACGGACCAGACUGCUACGGGAGGCAGCAGUGGGAAAUAUUGCACAAUGGGCGGAAGCCUGAUGCAGCAACGCCGCGUGCGGGAUGACGGCCUUCGGGUUGUAAACCGCUUUCGCCUGUGACGAAGCGUGAGUGACGGUAAUGGGUAAAGAAGCACCGGCUAACUACGUG
RNAcentral lists this ribosomal RNA (468 nucleotides) under uncultured bacterium. RNAcentral describes it as "partial 16S ribosomal RNA". It matches the Rfam family "Bacterial small subunit ribosomal RNA", at positions 28 to 507 of the family's 1533-position model. The record is from RNAcentral.